This 84-nucleotide transfer RNA is filed under the name compost metagenome. Its description in RNAcentral is "tRNA-Asn". It matches the Rfam family "tRNA". Rfam says of the family: Transfer RNA (tRNA) molecules are approximately 80 nucleotides in length. Their secondary structure includes four short double-helical elements and three loops (D, anti-codon, and T loops). The record is from RNAcentral.
ACCUAGGUGGUGAAACGGUAGACACAGAGCACUGUUAAUGCUCCGAUUAAUUUCAUGAAGGUUCGAAUCCUUCCCUAGGUGCCA